RNAcentral lists this ribosomal RNA (2494 nucleotides) under Escherichia coli KTE66. RNAcentral describes it as "bacterial LSU rRNA". It matches the Rfam family "Bacterial large subunit ribosomal RNA", at positions 1 to 2521 of the family's 2925-position model. The record is from RNAcentral. Lineage: Bacteria; Pseudomonadati; Pseudomonadota; Gammaproteobacteria; Enterobacterales; Enterobacteriaceae.
UUAAGCGACUAAGCGUACACGGUGGAUGCCCUGGCAGUCAGAGGCGAUGAAGGACGUGCUAAUCUGCGAUAAGCGUCGGUAAGGUGAUAUGAACCGUUAUAACCGGCGAUUUCCGAAUGGGGAAACCCAGUGUGAUUCGUCACACUAUCAUUAACUGAAUCCAUAGGUUAAUGAGGCGAACCGGGGGAACUGAAACAUCUAAGUACCCCGAGGAAAAGAAAUCAACCGAGAUUCCCCCAGUAGCGGCGAGCGAACGGGGAGCAGCCCAGAGCCUGAAUCAGUGUGUGUGUUAGUGGAAGCGUCUGGAAAGGCGCGCGAUACAGGGUGACAGCCCCGUACACAAAAAUGCACAUACUGUGAGCUCGAUGAGUAGGGCGGGACACGUGGUAUCCUGUCUGAAUAUGGGGGGACCAUCCUCCAAGGCUAAAUACUCCUGACUGACCGAUAGUGAACCAGUACCGUGAGGGAAAGGCGAAAAGAACCCCGGCGAGGGGAGUGAAAAAGAACCUGAAACCGUGUACGUACAAGCAGUGGGAGCACGCUUCGGCGUGUGACUGCGUACCUUUUGUAUAAUGGGUCAGCGACUUAUAUUCUGUAGCAAGGUUAACCGAAUAGGGGAGCCGAAGGGAAACCGAGUCUUAACUGGGCGUUAAGUUGCAGGGUAUAGACCCGAAACCCGGUGAUCUAGCCAUGGGCAGGUUGAAGGUUGGGUAACACUAACUGGAGGACCGAACCGACUAAUGUUGAAAAAUUAGCGGAUGACUUGUGGCUGGGGGGGAAAGGCCAAUCAAACCGGGAGAUAGCUGGUUCUCCCCGAAAGCUAUUUAGGUAGCGCCUCGUGAAUUCAUCUCCGGGGGUAGAGCACUGUUUCGGCAAGGGGGUCAUCCCGACUUACCAACCCGAUGCAAACUGCGAAUACCGGAGAAUGUUAUCACGGGAGACACACGGCGGGUGCUAACGUCCGUCGUGAAGAGGGAAACAACCCAGACCGCCAGCUAAGGUCCCAAAGUCAUGGUUAAGUGGGAAACGAUGUGGGAAGGCCCAGACAGCCAGGAUGUUGGCUUAGAAGCAGCCAUCAUUUAAAGAAAGCGUAAUAGCUCACUGGUCGAGUCGGCCUGCGCGGAAGAUGUAACGGGGCUAAACCAUGCACCGAAGCUGCGGCAGCGACACUAUGUGUUGUUGGGUAGGGGAGCGUUCUGUAAGCCUGUGAAGGUGUCCUGUGAGGCAUGCUGGAGGUAUCAGAAGUGCGAAUGCUGACAUAAGUAACGAUAAAGCGGGUGAAAAGCCCGCUCGCCGGAAGACCAAGGGUUCCUGUCCAACGUUAAUCGGGGCAGGGUGAGUCGACCCCUAAGGCGAGGCCGAAAGGCGUAGUCGAUGGGAAACAGGUUAAUAUUCCUGUACUUGGUGUUACUGCGAAGGGGGGACGGAGAAGGCUAUGUUGGCCGGGCGACGGUUGUCCCGGUUUAAGCGUGUAGGCUGGUUUUCCAGGCAAAUCCGGAAAAUCAAGGCUGAGGCGUGAUGACGAGGCACUACGGUGCUGAAGCAACAAAUGCCCUGCUUCCAGGAAAAGCCUCUAAGCAUCAGGUAACAUCAAAUCGUACCCCAAACCGACACAGGUGGUCAGGUAGAGAAUACCAAGGCGCUUGAGAGAACUCGGGUGAAGGAACUAGGCAAAAUGGUGCCGUAACUUCGGGAGAAGGCACGCUGAUAUGUAGGUGAAGUCCCUCGCGGAUGGAGCUGAAAUCAGUCGAAGAUACCAGCUGGCUGCAACUGUUUAUUAAAAACACAGCACUGUGCAAACACGAAAGUGGACGUAUACGGUGUGACGCCUGCCCGGUGCCGGAAGGUUAAUUGAUGGGGUUAGCGGUAACGCGAAGCUCUUGAUCGAAGCCCCGGUAAACGGCGGCCGUAACUAUAACGGUCCUAAGGUAGCGAAAUUCCUUGUCGGGUAAGUUCCGACCUGCACGAAUGGCGUAAUGAUGGCCAGGCUGUCUCCACCCGAGACUCAGUGAAAUUGAACUCGCUGUGAAGAUGCAGUGUACCCGCGGCAAGACGGAAAGACCCCGUGAACCUUUACUAUAGCUUGACACUGAACAUUGAGCCUUGAUGUGUAGGAUAGGUGGGAGGCUUUGAAGUGUGGACGCCAGUCUGCAUGGAGCCGACCUUGAAAUACCACCCUUUAAUGUUUGAUGUUCUAACGUUGGCCCCUGAUCCGGGUUGCGGACAGUGUCUGGUGGGUAGUUUGACUGGGGCGGUCUCCUCCUAAAGAGUAACGGAGGAGCACGAAGGUUGGCUAAUCCUGGUCGGACAUCAGGAGGUUAGUGCAAUGGCAUAAGCCAGCUUGACUGCGAGCGUGACGGCGCGAGCAGGUGCGAAAGCAGGUCAUAGUGAUCCGGUGGUUCUGAAUGGAAGGGCCAUCGCUCAACGGAUAAAAGGUACUCCGGGGAUAACAGGCUGAUACCGCCCAAGAGUUCAUAUCGACGGCGGUGUUUGG